UUGACCUCAAAUCGGGUGAGACUACCCGCUGAACUUAAGCAUAUCAAUAAGCGGAGGAAAAGAAACUAACAAGGGAUUCCCCUAGUAACUGCGAGUGAAGCGGGAAAAGCUCAAUUUAAAAUCUGGUGGCUUUGGUCAUCCGAGUUGUAAUUAGAGAAGCGUCUUCCGCGCUGGACCGUGCACAAGUCUCCUGGAAUGG
This 199-nucleotide ribosomal RNA is filed under the name uncultured Russula. RNAcentral's name for it is "partial 28S ribosomal RNA". It matches the Rfam family "Eukaryotic large subunit ribosomal RNA", at positions 1 to 198 of the family's 3401-position model. The record is from RNAcentral. Lineage: Eukaryota; Fungi; Basidiomycota; Agaricomycetes; Russulales; Russulaceae.